RNAcentral lists this ribosomal RNA (492 nucleotides) under uncultured bacterium. RNAcentral's name for it is "partial 16S ribosomal RNA". It matches the Rfam family "Bacterial small subunit ribosomal RNA", at positions 29 to 507 of the family's 1533-position model. The record is from RNAcentral.
AGUGAACGCUGGCGGUAGGCCUAACACAUGCAAGUCGAACGGCAGCACAGUAAGAGCUUGCUCUUACGGGUGGCGAGUGGCGGACGGGUGAGGAAUACAUCGGAAUCUACUUUUUCGUGGGGGAUAACGUAGGGAAACUUACGCUAAUACCGCAUACGACCUACGGGUGAAAGCAGGGGAUCUUCGGACCUUGCGCGAUUGAAUGAGCCGAUGUCGGAUUAGCUAGUUGGCGGGGUAAAGGCCCACCAAGGCGACGAUCCGUAGCUGGUCUGAGAGGAUGAUCAGCCACACGGUAACUGAGAAACGGCCCAGACUCCUACGGGAGGCAGCAGUGGGGAAUAUUGGACAAUGGGCGCAAGCCUGAUCCAGCCAUACCGCGUGGGUGAAGAAGGCCUUCGGGUUGUAAAGCCCUUUUGUUGGGAAAGAAAAGCAGCAGGUUAAUACCCCGCUGUUCUGACGGUACCCAAAGAAUAAGCACCGGCUAACUUCGUG